GAUGAACGCUGGCGGCGUGCUUAACACAUGCAAGUCGAACGGAAAGGCCCAAGCUUGCUUGGGUACUCGAGUGGCGAACGGGUGAGUAACACGUGGGUGAUCUGCCCUGCACUUCGGGAUAAGCCUGGGAAACUGGGUCUAAUACCGGAUAGGACCACAUUUUGGAUGGUGUGGUGGAAAGUUUUUCGGUGUGGGAUGAGCUCGCGGCCUAUCAGCUUGUUGGUGGGGUAAUGGCCUACCAAGGCGUCGACGGGUAGCCGGCCUGAGAGGGUGUACGGCCACAUUGGGACUGAGAUACGGCCCAGACUCCUACGGGAGGCAGCAGUGGGGAAUAUUGCACAAUGGGCGCAAGCCUGAUGCAGCGACGCCGCGUGGGGGAUGACGGCCUUCGGGUUGUAAACUCCUUUCGCUAGGGACGAAGCGUUAUGUGACGGUACCUGGAGAAGGAGCACCGGCUAACUACGUG
Molecule: ribosomal RNA, 466 nt
Filed under: uncultured bacterium
Lineage: Bacteria
Description: partial 16S ribosomal RNA
Rfam family: Bacterial small subunit ribosomal RNA
Source: RNAcentral